This 253-nucleotide ribosomal RNA is filed under the name uncultured bacterium. RNAcentral describes it as "partial 16S ribosomal RNA". It matches the Rfam family "Bacterial small subunit ribosomal RNA", at positions 524 to 776 of the family's 1533-position model. The record is from RNAcentral.
UACGAAGGGUGCAAGCGUUACUCGGAAUUACUGGGCGUAAAGGGUGCGUAGGUGGUUGUUUAAGUCUGUUGUGAAAGCCCCGGGCUCAACCUGGGAAUGGCAAUGGAUACUGGACAGCUAGAGUGCGGUAGAGGGUAGUGGAAUUCCCGGUGUAGCAGUGAAAUGCGUAGAGAUCGGGAGGAACACCAGUGGCGAAGGCGGCUACCUGGACCAGCACUGACACUGAGGCACGAAGGCCAGGGGAGCAAACGGG